RNAcentral lists this long non-coding RNA (242 nucleotides) under Brassica napus (rape). RNAcentral's name for it is "long non-coding RNA (BNAP_LNC001012)". Lineage: Eukaryota; Viridiplantae; Streptophyta; Magnoliopsida; Brassicales; Brassicaceae. The record is from RNAcentral.
UCGGCUUCUAAGAUCUCGGUUCACUCCUCACCUGUGGUCCACUCGGGUUUUCAGCUAGGCCCUUCUUCGGAGGGGCGAGUCUUAAGGAAACCAGGCAACAACGGGUCACAGCGGAAACGCCCUUCUUCCUGGAAAAGAAAAUCCCUUGGUCAGAGGAGCGUGGAAGCUGGCUUAGCUUCGGUGGAGGUUCAGGAUCACGUUACAGACCGGAUAGGAAGCUCCAAGAGGAAAUCUUCCUUUGC